This 588-nucleotide long non-coding RNA is filed under the name Sorghum bicolor (sorghum). Its description in RNAcentral is "long non-coding RNA (SBIC_LNC011219)". The record is from RNAcentral. Lineage: Eukaryota; Viridiplantae; Streptophyta; Magnoliopsida; Poales; Poaceae.
GCGGGGCGCGGCGCAGGGGAGCUGUGGGCAAGGGAGGUGGGCGGCGGCGGCGGCGCUGUGGGCAGGGGAGGGAGGCGCUGCGGGUAGGAGAUGGGGCGGCUCUGUGGAGAGAGGAGGGAGGCGAAAUGGGCCGGCCCAAUAUUGUUAGGGUAAAGUCCUUUGCCGACUGCUUCCAGGUAAAGGCAAUCGGCAAAGGCAUUGGAAAAUAUUUUAUUAUAAUCUCUUGGCCGACUGUCCUACAUUAAGGCAGUCGGCAAAGAAUUUUUGUAUUUUUUUUCUCUUUUUUUAAACAGCCACAACUUGCUCUUAAUUUUUUGAAAUUUUUAACAUAGGUUCCACAUGUGAUAACAUUAAACUUCAAAAGGUUUUAUGAUUUUUUGACUUUUUUUGCUAUAUUUCAUUAAUUAAUUUCUUUAAAUUGAUUUUUCCGCUAUAUAAUCCUACUUUGAACUAUAUGUGCAUGAAAUAGUAAAACUUAGCCAUUCAAAAAAUGAUAUUCAUGUUGAAUAAUGUAUUUUUAGAAUAUAUCCAAAAACUAACGCAAAAUUUUAAAGUCCUUAUCCAUGGAACAUGGUCAUCCAAGUGUGG